GGGCAUACAGCGGAAGAAGGGCUGGUCACCCGGGGGGGGGACUUGCUGAAUUAUUCACCCUUGUCUUUUGCGUACUUCUUGUUUCCUUGGUGGGUUCGCCCACCACUAGGACAAACAUAAACCUUUUGUAAUUGCAAUCAGCGUCAGUAACAAAUUAAUAAUUACAACUUUCAACAACGGAUCUCUUGGUUCUGGCAUCGAUGAAGAACGCAGCGAAAUGCGAUAAGUAGUGUGAAUUGCAGAAUUCAGUGAAUCAUCGAAUCUUUGAACGCACAUUGCGCCCUUUGGUAUUCCAAAGGGCAUGCCUGUUCGAGCGUCAUUUGUACCCUCAAGCUUUGCUUGGUGUUGGGCGUCUUGUCUCUAGCUUUGCUGGAGACUCGCCUUAAAGUAAUUGGCAGCCGGCCUACUGGUUUCGGAGCGCAGCACAAGUCGCACUCUCUAUCAGCAAAGGUCUAGCAUCCAUUAAGCCUUUUUUCAACUUUUGACCUCGGAUCAGGUAGGGAUACCCGCUGAACUUAAGCAUAAAU
Molecule: ribosomal RNA, 527 nt
Filed under: Alternaria destruens
Lineage: Eukaryota; Fungi; Ascomycota; Dothideomycetes; Pleosporales; Pleosporaceae
Description: eukaryotic LSU rRNA
Rfam family: 5.8S ribosomal RNA (bases 166-319)
Source: RNAcentral